AUGGACGCGCCAGCGGCCACGGUCCCAGACGAUGUCAUCCUGGAGAUCCUUGUACGCCUGGCUGAUGAGGCCUCACUCUUCCGCUGCGCGGCGACGUGCAAGCUGUGGAGGUGCCUCAUAGCCGACGCUUCCUUCCUCUGCCGUCGAUGGCCGGCCAACUCGCGCCACCCGUCCUCCCUCGUCGGGUUCCUCGCCAACAAAUGCCACAUCCAUCAGGGAAUCAUGGGGCUCCCCAUGGGAUCAGCCGCCGCCCAAACCUUCGUUCCAGUUCCAGGGCCGCAACCGGUGUUCGGCCGUGGCCGUCGAUCCCUCGGCUCCUUGCUCCCCCAAACCGGCAUCCUCUUCGACCGUGUGACACCGCUUGCCUCGCACGGCGGUCUCCUCCUGGUGCGCUUCGUCCCGACUCAUCAUGCCUCGCGCCCGACCGUCAUCCACCUUGCCAUGUGUAACCUGCUUGCCGGCACGUGUGAGGCGCUUCCCCCACUGGAGUACAAGUCGUCGACGAACCGAGCUGGAGCGCGCCCACCGCUUGCCUGGACCGUUGCUUGCCGGAGACGCACACGGCUUAUCUGCUGA
This 576-nucleotide ribosomal RNA is filed under the name Triticum aestivum (bread wheat). Its description in RNAcentral is "partial small subunit ribosomal RNA". Lineage: Eukaryota; Viridiplantae; Streptophyta; Magnoliopsida; Poales; Poaceae. The record is from RNAcentral.